GGGGAUUUAGCUCAGUGGUAGAGCGCUCGCCUAGCAAUCGUAAGGCCCUGGGUUCAGUCCCCA
Molecule: transfer RNA, 63 nt
Filed under: Rattus norvegicus (Norway rat)
Lineage: Eukaryota; Metazoa; Chordata; Mammalia; Rodentia; Muridae
Rfam family: tRNA
About the family: Transfer RNA (tRNA) molecules are approximately 80 nucleotides in length. Their secondary structure includes four short double-helical elements and three loops (D, anti-codon, and T loops).
Source: Rfam by way of RNAcentral